CCUACGGGAGGCAGCAGUGAGGAAUAUUGGUCAAUGGGCGGGAGCCUGAACCAGCCAAGCCGCGUGAUGGAAGAAGGUACAGCGUAUCGUAAACCUCUUUUGUCAGGGAACAAAGGCGGGGACUAUUCCCCGGAUGAGGGUACCUGAAGAAAAAGCAUCGGCUAACUCCGCGCCAGCAGCCGCGGUAAUACGGAGGAUGCGAGCGUUAUCCGGAUUUAUUGGGUUUAAGGGGUGCGCAGGCGGCCUGUUAAGUCAGCGGGAAAAGCCCGGGGCUCAACCCCGGCGAGCCGUUGAAACUGGCGGGCUGGAGUUGGAGAGAAGUACGCGGAAUGCGCGGUGUAGCGGUGAAAUGCUUAGAUAUCGCGCAGAACCCCGAUUGCGAAGGCAGCGUACCGGCUCCACACUGACACUGAGGCACGAAAGCGUGGGUAUCGAACAGGAUUAGAUACCCCGGUAGUC
RNAcentral lists this ribosomal RNA (459 nucleotides) under uncultured bacterium. RNAcentral's name for it is "partial 16S ribosomal RNA". It matches the Rfam family "Bacterial small subunit ribosomal RNA", at positions 338 to 795 of the family's 1533-position model. The record is from RNAcentral.